Molecule: long non-coding RNA, 1006 nt
Organism: Silurus meridionalis
Lineage: Eukaryota; Metazoa; Chordata; Actinopteri; Siluriformes; Siluridae
Exons: 3
Source: RefSeq, a predicted model, not a curated record
UGUGUGUGUGUGUGUGUGUGUGCGUGUGCGUGUGUGUGUGUGCACAUUCAGAACACACACUUCAGACAGCAGUAAUCACAAAGUCUCGAGAUAAAAGCUGUAGUCUAAAGUUUUAUAUUCUGGAACCCAAAUCUGAACCGGAUCCAAAAUGUUCUGCAGGAGAACCAAGCAAGCAAUCACAAGCAGCAAGGACCAUCGACCAUGUGUGUGUGACAGGACCAUCGGCCAUGUGUGUGUGACAGGACCAUCGGCCAUUUGUCCCCAGUGAACACUGGCUCAUACACACACAGCACAAUGAAGCUGUUCAACAGAGAAAAUUGUGGCCUGCCAGAAAAAGUGCCCAGCCAUCACGCACACACGCACGCACACACACACACACACACACACACACACACACACACACACACACACACACACACACACACACACACUCACGCUUGUUACGGGCUGGUCAAUAGUGACACCUAGUGGAUAUUUUGUGUAAUUUCAGUCUUGCAGCACUUAAUAUUUAAGAAUUACUGAUACACUUUGAGUUGUGUAUAAGUAUGUAAUAUGGCUGAGCCUUUCAGUUUUCAAUUUGUUGUAAUUGUCUGUAGAAGACAAAAUAUGAUCAGAAGGUCAUGAGUUAAAAUCCCUGCACCAGUGAUGCUGGACCCUUAAACAAGCCCCUUUGAGCCUCAACUGCUCACUUGUAUAAAUAAGAUUAUCAUAGGAUGCUCUGGAUAAGGCUAAAUGCUGAAGAUGUAAAUGUAUUUAUGUAUAAUCAGUUCUUUGUAAAUAAAUUAGUUGCUAUACUAAUCCAUAAACUUAUCUUACCCCACUGCAUUCUUGGUUCUGAUAAAUCAUUAGAUGUUUAUAAAUCCAUAUGAGUGUUUCAGUGUGGAAUAGUUUACUAUAAGAGUAUUCCUACAAAUGUACAGCUUCAUAUGUUUUUUAUGUUGUUGUUAAAUAUUUCAUUCAAAUGUGUGUAACUACAACUAACCAAAGUCUGUAUUGCUUAACCUAA